Molecule: ribosomal RNA, 246 nt
Filed under: uncultured bacterium
Lineage: Bacteria
Description: partial 16S ribosomal RNA
Rfam family: Bacterial small subunit ribosomal RNA
Source: RNAcentral
UAUUCCUGGCUCAGGAUGAACGCUGGCGGCGUGCUUAACACAUGCAAGUCGAACGAAGCAACCAUGAAGCCUAGCGAUUGGUUGACUGAGUGGCGGACGGGUGAGUAACGCGUGGGUAACCUGCCUCAUACAGGGGGACAACAGUUAGAAAUGACUGCUAAUACCGCAUAACCCGCUAGGGCCGCAUGGCCCGGACGGAAAAAGGAGCAAUCCGGUAUGAGAUGGACCCGCGUCUGAUUAGCUGGG